AGAGUCCCACCCGGCCAAGGCUAGCCACCAGCCGGUAGCGAGUCUUGCAUGGCGUCGGGCGACCGCCGCUGCGAAGCGUAGACAGCGAGCGAAUAGCCCGUGUGAUUGAGCACCGAAAUUAUUGUUUAUGUGACCGCUGACAGUCUUGCUUCCCUGGAAGGCAACAUUGACCCGCUCAACUGGUUUUGCGGGGAAAGGUCACCGGUGUCGGAGAGCA
Molecule: non-coding RNA, 217 nt
Filed under: Aidingimonas halophila
Lineage: Bacteria; Pseudomonadati; Pseudomonadota; Gammaproteobacteria; Oceanospirillales; Halomonadaceae
Source: RNAcentral